ACUAACAAGGAUUCCCCUAGUAACUGCGAGUGAAGCGGGAAAAGCUCAAAUUUAAAAUCUGGCGGUCUUUGACCGUCCGAGUUGUAGUCUGGAGAAGUGCUUUCCGCGCUGGACCGUGUACAAGUCUCUUGGAACAGAGCGUCAUAGAGGGUGAGAAUCCCGUCUUUGACACGGACUACCAGUGCUUUGUGAUGCGCUCUCAAAGAGUCGAGUUGUUUGGGAAUGCAGCUCAAAAUGGGUGGUAAAUUCCAUCUAAAGCUAAAUAUUGGCGAGAGACCGAUAGCGAACAAGUACCGUGAGGGAAAGAUGAAAAGCACUUUGGAAAGAGAGUUAAACAGUACGUGAAAUUGCUGAAAGGGAAACGCUUGAAGUCAGUCGCGUUGGCCAGGACUCAGCCUUGCUUUUGCUUGGUGCACUUUCUGGUUGACGGGCCAGCAUCGAUUUUGACCGCUGGAAAAAGGUUGGGGGAAUGUGGCACCUUCGGGUGUGUUAUAGCCCUCAGUCACAUACGGUGGUUGGGAUCGAGGACCGCAGCACGCCUUCAUGGCCGGGGUUCGCCCACGUUCGUGCUUAGGAUGCUGGCGUAAUGGCUUUAAACGACCCGUCUUGAAACACGGACCAAGGAGUCUAACAUGCCUGCGAGUGUUUGGGUGGAAAACCCGAGCGCGUAAUGAAAGUGAAAGUUGAGAUCCCUGUCGCGGGGAGCAUCGACGCCCGGACCUGAACUUCGGUGAUGGCUCUGCGGUAGAGCAUGUAUGUUGGGACCCGAAAGAUGGUGAACUAUGCCUGAAUAGGGUGAAGCCAGAGGAAACUCUGGUGGAGGCUCGUAGCGAUUCUGACGUGCAAAUCGAUCGUCAAAUUUGGGUAUAGGGGCGAAAGACUAAUCGAACCAUCUAGUAGCUGG
Molecule: ribosomal RNA, 904 nt
Filed under: Fomitopsis juniperina
Lineage: Eukaryota; Fungi; Basidiomycota; Agaricomycetes; Polyporales; Fomitopsidaceae
Description: LSU rRNA
Rfam family: Eukaryotic large subunit ribosomal RNA
Source: RNAcentral